CCUUACUAGGUUUUCCUCCCCACAUAGUUAGCAGCGAAGAGCGUAUAUCAACAUAUCAACAUGAAGUCAUUUUCUUCUUCUUUUUCCCUUUCUAUCUCUAAUCCAUCAAUGCAUGUAGCUGUGUUCGAAAAGGUGAAGACAUUAACGCUCCUCAAUGGAUUGAUUUCACUAAUCAUGAUCCUCCUGUUUAUGAUGAAGCUUUGGGCAUUCACAAAUCUCGUUGAAUUUUAGGGUUUGCUAUCCACCAUUUUCAUGCACCACUUCUUCCAUCAAUUUCUAGAAGAACACCUUUUCUCUUUUUCCAUCCACAAUCAUAUUUAGUUAAUUUUCUAAUCCACUAUGGGCCUGCAAAUACACACCGCUUUUCUGCUUUUUUCUCUAUCUCAACAACGAUCGGUCUUUCAAGGAGGCAUCACCGUCAAUCGGGAUCGGAAUCGGCUUUGUUGCCGGAAUUUGAUCACCCCAGUCUCAUAUUAUCCUUUUCUAUUUAAUCAAGUAACUUGCGUAUUCCUUUUCACUUGCUCCUAGCAACCACCAAUUAUUACAAAUGAUGGUCCCACUAAUCAUAUGGUUACAUCAAAAUAGCCAGAGAAAACCCAUACGGACGUCCUCUCUGAUGCUAGACGAACCUGCUACAAGAAAGAAUCAAAGAUGAAAGCCACAUUACUGAAAAAAAUCAUCGUCCUCUUCAACAUUCAUGUGGUUAUAGAGGUUCUCUGAAGAUUGACACCACAGGUCUAUCUGUGUGCUCUUAAACUUAUUGUCAAAUAUGCUACUGCUUCUCUCAGAUCACUAUCUCUUUUGAUGAGACAACAAUGAUUGAAGAUGUUGAUAAUUUGUUCAAAGUUUUCGCCUUGGGAAAACCCGUGGCAUUCAGUGCCAUGUCACUUGCACCAGAGGUUGAGGAUAAUAUCCCUUCCAGAUUUGUCUGGGAAACUCCAUAUUUGACUCAUUUGAUUUUCAACACUUAUCAUACGGAGCAUGAGCUACUAAGAUACAUUAGUAAGUUGUAGUCAAAUGAUCUGUCAUUAUGCCACAAUAUGAUUCCUCUGGGAUCUUGUACCAUGAAGCUUAAUGCAACUACAGAGAUGAUGCUUGAGACAUGGCUAGUCUUUGCAGAUUUGCAUCCUUUUGCUCCUACCCAACAGGCACAGGGGUAUCAGGAAAUGUUCAAGAAUUUGGGUGACAUGUUGUGUACCUUAACCGGAUUCGUCUCCUUCUCUUUGCAACCAAAUGUUGGAGCUGCUGGAGAGUAUGUUGGAAUGUCCGAGCUUAUCAUAUGGCGACAGGAAAUCAUCAUCGUAAUGUGUGUAUCAUCCAUGUGUCUACACGUGGAACAAAUCCUGCAAGUGUUGCUAUGUGUGGAAUGAAAAUUAUUACUGUGGGAACUGACUCCAAAGGUAAUAUCAAUAUUGAAGAGAUACGCAAGGAUGCUGAGGCAAACAAGGAGUAUGUAUAUGCUCUUAUGGUUUCCUAUCCUUCUACUCACGGAGUUUAUGAGGAGGGUAUUGAUGAGAUUUGCAAGAUUAUUCUUGACAAUGGAGGUCAAGUUUACAUGGAUGGAGCUAACAUGAAUGCACAGGUUGGUUUAACAAGUCUAGGGUGGAAUGGUGCUUAACAAGUCCAGGGUGGAAUGGUGCUGAUGUUUGUCAUCUAAACCUUCACAAUACAUUUUGCAUUCCACAUGGUGGUGGUAGGCCCGGAAUGGGCCCCAUUGGUGUGAAGAAACACUUGGCACCUUACUUGCCUUCACACCCUAUGGUUGCAACCAACCCCUGAAUCAGCACAUGUUGAAUUAAGGAUCAAGAACAUAACGGAGACUACUAUGGGCUUUUAGCUUUUUGUUGAAUGGAAAAGUAGUGAAUGGGAGGACUUGUGUUUUUAAGGUUUGUAUUAUUAACCAUUUGAGCCAAUUUGCUUUUGUAAAUGGUGUUACAUGAUCCUAUUUCUCGUGUUUCCCUA
Non-coding RNA from Lactuca sativa (garden lettuce), 1962 nucleotides. NCBI's taxonomy places the organism in Eukaryota, Viridiplantae, Streptophyta, Magnoliopsida, Asterales, Asteraceae. The record is from RefSeq and is a predicted model, not a curated record.